Molecule: ribosomal RNA, 450 nt
Filed under: uncultured bacterium
Lineage: Bacteria
Description: partial 16S ribosomal RNA
Rfam family: Bacterial small subunit ribosomal RNA
Source: RNAcentral
GUGGGGAAUAUUCCGCAAUGGACGAAAGUCUGACGGAGCAACGCCGCGUGAGUGAUGAAGGUUUUCGGACUGUAAAGCUCUGUUGUUUAGGACGAAAGUGCCUGUUGCAAAUAGUUACAGGUAUUGACGGUACUGAACGAGGAAGCCACGGCUAACUACGUGCCAGCAGCCGCGGUAAUACGUAGGUGGCAAGCGUUGUACGGAAAUAUUGGGCGUAAAGAGCAUGUAGGCGGGAAUCUAAGUCUGUUGUGAAAAUGCGGGGCUCAACCCCGUAUUGCGAUGGAAACUGGGUUUCUUGAGUGCAGGAGAGGAAAGGGGAAUUCCCAGUGUAGCGGUAAAAUGCGUAGAUAUUGGGAGGAACACCAGUGGCGAAGGCGCCUUUCUGGACUGUGUCUGACGCUGAGAUGCGAAAGCCAGGGUAGCGAACGGGAUUAGAUACCCCAGUAGUCC